GACAGAGGGUGCAAACGUUGCUCGGAAUUACUGGGCGUAAAGGGCGUGUAGGCGGGAAGGCAAGUCGGGCGUGAAAUCCCCAGGCUCAACCUGGGAACUGCACUCGAAACUGCCUUUCUUGAGUGCCGGAGAGGAAAGCGGAAUUCCUGGUGUAGAGGUGAAAUUCGUAGAUAUCAGGAGGAACACCAGUGGCGAAGGCGGCUUUCUGGACGGUAACUGACGCUGGAGACGCGAAAGCGUGGGGAGCAAACAGG
RNAcentral lists this ribosomal RNA (254 nucleotides) under uncultured bacterium. RNAcentral's name for it is "partial 16S ribosomal RNA". It matches the Rfam family "Bacterial small subunit ribosomal RNA", at positions 524 to 776 of the family's 1533-position model. The record is from RNAcentral.